CCAGGGUUGAUGAAGGAUCCCAAGAUGGCUGGGCGAAAACUUACUCUAAAAGCCAUUGACUGGGUUGCUUUUGGGGAGAUCAUACCCCAAAACCAAAAGGAGCCUAGGAGCAAUUCCUUGAAAUCCUGGAAUGAGGUGCUCACCUCCAGGUUGGCUGCUUUGUCUGAGAAUCCACCAGCUAUCAACUGGUCUUACUACAAGGCCAACAUGGCCAAGGCAGGCUUGGUUGAUGACUUUGAGAAGAAGUUUAAUGCCCUAAAGUUUCCUGUGCCAGAGGAUAAAUAUACUGCCCAAGUGGACGCUGAAGAAAAAGAAGAUGUAAAAAACUGUUCUGAGUUUGUGUCUCUCUCAAAGGCCGUGAUUGGAGAAUGUGAGAAACAGAUGGAGAAAAUGAAGAACGUAAUUCCAUUUGAUCAGAUGACCAUUGAGGACUUGAAUGAAGUCUUCCCAGAAACCAAAUUAGAUAGGAAGAAGUAUCCCAAUUGGCCUCACCAGUCAAUUGAGAAUUUAUAAAAUUGAGUCCAGGAGGAAGCCCUGGCUCUUAUAUUAUACACUGUGGACAUUAAAAAUAAAAAU
RNA transcript from Carlito syrichta (Philippine tarsier), 576 nucleotides. It is a transcript of the gene named ATP synthase subunit d, mitochondrial pseudogene, with no coding region annotated. The record is from RefSeq and is a predicted model, not a curated record. Lineage: Eukaryota; Metazoa; Chordata; Mammalia; Primates; Tarsiidae. The transcript has a single exon.